Molecule: transfer RNA, 76 nt
Filed under: Prauserella sp. Am3
Lineage: Bacteria; Bacillati; Actinomycetota; Actinomycetes; Pseudonocardiales; Pseudonocardiaceae
Description: tRNA-Gly
Rfam family: tRNA
About the family: Transfer RNA (tRNA) molecules are approximately 80 nucleotides in length. Their secondary structure includes four short double-helical elements and three loops (D, anti-codon, and T loops). Further hydrogen bonds mediate the characteristic L-shaped molecular structure. tRNAs have two regions of fundamental functional importance: the anti-codon, which is responsible for specific mRNA codon recognition, and the 3' end, to which the tRNAs corresponding amino acid is attached (by aminoacyl-tRNA synthetases). tRNAs cope with the degeneracy of the genetic code in two manners: having more than one tRNA (with a specific anti-codon) for a particular amino acid; and 'wobble' base-pairing, i.e. permitting non-standard base-pairing at the 3rd anti-codon position.
Source: RNAcentral
GCGGACGUAGCGCAGCUGGUNGCGCAUCACCUUGCCAAGGUGAGGGUCGCGGGUUCGAGUCCCGUCGUCCGCUCCA